Molecule: long non-coding RNA, 5488 nt
Organism: Oryzias sinensis (Chinese medaka)
Lineage: Eukaryota; Metazoa; Chordata; Actinopteri; Beloniformes; Adrianichthyidae
Source: Ensembl
AUGAUUCAGUUUGUAUUCAACAGGCCUGAAGUUACCAACACAUUUCUACAGAGUGCUAAUAUGACCUGUAGCUUUGUCCCUUCAAUCCAGAAUGUAAUCUCUCUUAAUAUGUUCCCCCAAAUCACUUUUAUUAGCCAUUUUUCAAUAAUUGCAUACGUUGUAACAUUUUUUUUUGAAUCCACAGUUUCAGUUUCACCAGUCAAGUGUUCUCCUCGACGACAUGGAUCCACUGUUUGUAGGCCACGUCGUCCUGGCAUGAUCAACCAUCCCUCAACUGCUUUGAUUUCUUCCGACCCCGACCUUCUGAUUCCCAUCCGACCUACUUAUCCGUGCUAUGAUGAUGGAGAGGAGAUCCUCAUGAAAACACUUAAAAAGCAAGAUUCCCAAGAGAAAUUCUUAGACUGCGACUGCACGGCUUCUGCUCGUUUCGCACAAAAGCACCCGUGCUCCUCAGCCGAGCCCUCCCCUCGAAGGUUUUAUCAGGAUGAAGCAGAGCUGCUCGCAGACAUCUCAACUGGGAAACCUUUGAGGGAAGAGGCAGAAUCAGCUGUUGAACCUCCAAUGCACAAACAUUUCGCAGAGGAACUUGGAGCUACCACAGAUCUGGAAGGCUCCAGCUGGAAAAUGGCAAAAGCCAAGGGCUUGGAGUCUUCUUUGGGAACUUCUUCUACAGAUGAGCCUGCUGUAACCCCAUCAAGAAUGAUCUUCAGAGACAGGAGUGACGCUUCCAGAGAAGCAGAGUUUUUAUUAAGAAAAGGAGACAAAGAUACAACAAGGGAUUUGAUGGAUGUCCCCUCACAGCAUGUCUACAGAGAGCGGUGUAAUUUACCACUUGAGGCGAGAAGGAUGUUGGUCGAAGCUCCAACAAAUGCUCCAAGAAUGUUAUCAAGAGAUAUGAUGGGGAUUUCGGUAGAUAGCAUCCCUAAAAAGAUGCAGAGAGAUCAAUCUGAGCCUUUGUUUGAAUCCAGGAGAAUCACAAGAGACUUGAUGGGUAUGUCCCAUGAUACAGGUUCAUGGAAGCUUGCUCAAAAUAAAGGAGAAUUUCUUUCUGAGUCUUCUUUGAGGUUAUUAUCAAAAGACAAAAUGGCUGAAACUAUGGGUACACCACCAAGGAACAUGUCCAGAGAUGAGCUGGAGUAUGAUGAUACCGCAUCCAUAAAGAUUCCUUCCAGAGAUGUAUUAGAAUCACCUGUAGAUGAGCAAGAAUCGGCCUCAGAGCCAAUAACUUAUAGAGGAAUACUAAGAAAUGAGCAGGAUGGCUCUGAUGAGUCCCUCAGAAGGAGAACACCAAGAGUGCCAGUAGAUGAGACCAACAUUACAGCAGAGGUUGCCACUGGAAAUGUUGCCAGGGACAAUGUUGAUGUUGCCGGAGCAACGCCCAAGCAUUUACUUUGGAGGGAAGAGCAAUUGACAUUUGAGUCAAGUUCUUUGCCGUGUGGAACCGGCCACCCAGACCUUAUGCCGACCUCUCAGGUGCCAUGGAGAUCCUCCUCCGACCUGUACGCUGCGGGCCCGUUGAGUCAGCUUGUGUACGACGGGAUCCUUGAAAAGUCGUGCAGCUCAGCAGCUUCUACCCCAAUGAUCACCUCUGCCUCAACUCCCAACCUGCACGCCAAGGUGGAGUCACCAGCCCCGCUGCAAAAGCCUACCUUCACGUCCGGGGAAUCGUCACUCAAAGAAGACAAACACAAAGAGAAGGAGAAAAGCAAGAAAUCCCUGAAGCUUAAAAAUCUCUUCAAAAAGAAAAGCGACUCGCCUCCUGAGAAGUUAGAAAACGGGCUUCAGAAACUCUGAUGGUCCACCUUUAAAGAUGGUCUUUCUUAAGCUGCAUUCACAACAAACGCAAUUUACGUGGCAGGGUAGCCAGUUUCAAUGUUAAGUUGCUAUCAGAGUUCCUGCGGUGUGAUUUGAGCUAUGAGACGGCGUGUUUUUUUUUGGGGGGGGGGGGGGGGGCGCAACAAUGCAGCACAGGGAAAAUUGUGACGCAUGAUGAAAGUUUAGCCGAGCAAGUUUAAACAUCUGAAGUUUGACAAUGAAUUUGCAUCUCUUCAACCAAUAAGGUUGAUGAGAUCUGAUGGUUCUCCUCCCAGAAUCUGAUUGUUCUCCUCCCAGACUUAUUUUAUCUAUUUUUCUUAUUUAAAUUGAAAAAAUAAUAAAAAGGUCCCCUAACUGUUUUCUAUUGUGGGACAAGAAGUUGUCAAAGAUCCUCAAACCAAAAAUGUUUGCAAAUCAUAAAAACCAGCUAUAAAACCUUAGGUCUUUGGAACGGCCUCCCUUUGUCAGGACGACUGACUGUUGUUGAGUAUUUAAACAAGUCAAGAUGCUUAUAUUCAGAAGAGUUUUUAGUUAAUCUAAUUUAGCCUUUGAUUAACUUUGUUUUUGUUGUCUUUACCUAGUUUAGUUGGUGGCGUGUGUCUGAUGACUGGUUGUAAUUUUCUGUGUUUGUACUAUUAUAGGCACUUUGUGAUUUUUCUCCAAAAAAGGUGCCAUAGAAAUAAAUAUUUACUCCCUUAAUGCGGAUCAGCAAGUCGUCAAACUGGGUCACAGAGACAGAAGUACCUCUGAGAGCGACCAUCAUUCAAACGCAGCUCCUGCAGUAAAUGGUGACUCUCAUCACAGCGGGAGAGUCACGGCGCCAUCUUUACCUGUUGUAGCUCUCUUACACAUCAUUCAUGUCUUCCAAGCAUUGUUAAUGAGAUACACAUAGACACUGCUCCAUGUGUCCAUGUAUCCAUGUGAGGCUAAAAAACAUUUGGCGGUAGCUCCUCCCACACACAGUGGGAGCAUUAGGUCUAUGAUCGCACUUGUGAAAAAGAGUCCAGCCAAGAAUUCAUUGUGCAUCUAAACAGAGGCAGAGGAGAAUUUGCGAAUGCAUCGUGAAUGCAGCGUUAGGUUUUAUUGAAUUGAGCAAAAAAUUUGUGCAAACGUGAGAAAACAAUCAAUCACAAUGACUAUAUCAGGAAAUCCUGGGAAAUUCUGUGGUUGACUCAAAUCAACGGAGUGACUCUUUUGUAGGUGAGCACAUUCAAAUGCAGCUUCAGUUCCACAGAGAUGCUGUAGAACUCAAUCAGUACUCAAAACAACAUUGUGUCCACCUGAAGGCCAACCGCUGAAGUUAAGUGGUGUAUUCUUUCUUCUGGCGCUGCAUAUUUGUGAUAGAUGCUUUCACACCAGAAAGCAGGAGGAUUGAAAUCUCUGCUAGGACAUUUUACUGCUGAGUUUGUAUGUUUUCCUUAAGCUUGUAUAGAUUUUUUUGGAACUAUCUCAUCGUUGUUUGACAUUGCAAAAACAGCAAUGUUCAUAUAAUUGAAAAUUCAAAAUUGUCUGAAGAAGUGAUCUUGUUUUUUUUUUUUUUUUUUUUAUAAAAGAUAAGAAGCCGCCCAUUUCUGUUGAAAGGGAGGAUAAAAGUCUUAUAGUUCAUUGUUUGUGGUUAUGCAAUGGAAAAAUGAAGGAUAAAACACUUAUCUUGUUUUGUAUAAUGAAGUCUUAUAGAUACAUGGUUAAAAAUCAUGAUUUUUGUUUUUGUUUUUUAUGCUUUGCCUGAAGCUGAAGUGUAACCUGAAGUUUUAAGUUUCUGUAUUACAGAGUAAAAGCUGUACAUAAUAAAAAAAUUAGAAAUUUAAAUCUCUUGCACAUAAUGGCUACGUACGUUUUUAAAUAAAAUUAAGAACACCGAAAAAUCUAAGAAAUAUUUUUUUUGUCAGAUGAUUGAGUUUGUUGAAACUUUGGCUGUACAGGGGUGGAAUGGUGGGUUCAGUGAUGUUUAAUUUUUUUUUUAUUUAGCCUUUAUUUAACCAGAUAAAACCCACUGAGAUCACGUGUGUUUACGUUUACAGUAUUACAUUUUGCAAUAAAAUUGGAAUUUUACAGUAAGAAAUUCAAAGUUAAAAUACAGUAAAGUGACCUAGUGUUACAAAUUUUAAUUAAUACGGGGAAACAUUUGUAAGUGGUGUGAGAAUCUUAAAGUGCAAAAGAUAGAAGCUGCUGGUCUUUCUUUCUUUGAUACACAGAAAGCAACGAAAAAAAUCAAAUAGACCCAAGUUUGGAAAAAUGUAUUUCACAUUGGAGAUUAUUCCAAGCAGAUGCAGCAGAAAAACUGAAGGCUUGUUUCCCAAAUUCAGUUAGAUUACGAGGUCCAUGACGAGGAAUAAUGUCAUUAGAGAGCAAGGAAUAGUGACAGGUGGUUCUUUGAAGAAGAGAACAGAGGUACAAAGGAACCAAACGCAGCAGCUUAUAGAUUUAUGUCAUCCAAUGCAUGUACCUUCGUGUGCUCAGAGAGGGCCACUCAGUUCUGGCAUACAGUAAUGAGUGAGGCGACUACAACCGGCCACAAACCGUGGCAGACAGUAUUCAGGUUCACUGAAGCAGCAGUGCCUCCCCUUUUGUGUGGAUGUAAAGAUGAGUAGAAGCACUUUGAGUACCACUGUGGACCAUUUACCAUGUUUAUCAUAGAGGUCAGUGAUUUGCAUUAACCGUGCUAUAUUUUACAUAUAAGUUAACCAGGUUUGCUGGUGUCCACGUGAAGUGGCUUUGUGUUAGACAGAAGGUAUCAGCAGACGUUUUAUAUGAGUUCCCCUUUUUGCAUAUCCAAAUACACAUUGAAAGCAUUCAUUCAUUGUGAAUUCAAAUACUGGCGUAACAGGCUUGUUGUAACAAAAUCUUGCACACCUGUCAACACAUGCCUCAAUAUGUGACCCAUAGCAAAACUUUUAGGAUUGGCUUGACCCUUUAUCCAUGAACUUCAUCUUCACCCGUUUACCUCAUCCAUGUGUCUGUUCAAGUCUCCACACAGAGAUACCCUGGAUCCUCUCAUCCAUCUCCAUCCAGAGUUUCUCUUUGUCCUCAAGUGUGAGGUCAUAACCUCUGAUAACAUUCAGCAUCACUCCUUCAACUUCCAGCAACUCCCCAUCUGACACCCUUUUCACAUCCAGAACAUUUUUUAACAAGUCCCUACAUUCAGAGUUCCUACUCCAAGUCCUGCCUUUCUUUCUUUUUCUCUGCCUAUGACUAUGCCUUCCUUAUCUCCUUCUUCCAGUAUUAGUUGUCCAAUUUCCACCAGCACCCUCUAGUAUGAAGGUUCUGAUUGUGAUUGGCAUGACUGAUGUGGCUGUAGUUUCACCUCGUACCCUCUGCAUUUAGCUAGACUGGCACACACAAGCACUACUUUGUGCCCCCUUGUGGUUGCAGUGUUGAACAUUUACUCAAAAGGCAUCACAUUUUAAUCAAAUCACUCCACUUCUGCCAAUAAUGUCGAUUUAAAGAAUGUAAUAAAUAAUGAAAAGGGGUUAAUUUUUAAAACACCUGCAAGACCCAUGUAUCUAAUAAACCUUCCUUGAUUUUUUUUGUUACAAUUCCUUAAAUUGAUGUUCUUUUUUUCAUUUUAUUAAUUUCCUUUAUCCAUGCGGGGCCUUAACUCCACACAAGGACACACAAGGAUGUGUCCUCAUGCUGCCGCUGCAAAAAUAAAUAAAAAAUAAAUAAACUGGAA